Molecule: long non-coding RNA, 840 nt
Filed under: Coturnix japonica (Japanese quail)
Lineage: Eukaryota; Metazoa; Chordata; Aves; Galliformes; Phasianidae
Description: lncRNA (ENSCJPG00005016404.1)
Source: RNAcentral
UAGCGAGAUACACUCUCUAUGCAUAUAUGUUUAUAGAUACAGAUAUACUUACAUGUCUAAAAAUCACGUUUAUUUAACUGUAAGCUCCUGAAGUGAGAAAGCAAGCAAUCUAAAAUAUUUAUGUCCACUAUGCAACUGCUAACAAAAUAACUCUUCUUUGACAUCAGUCUUCAGGACUUCCAGCACUUCAGCUUUGCCAUUUUUACAAUGGCUUUGUAGUAAAAGUAGUGCAAACCUUCUAAAAUCAACACAAUAAGUAACCUGGGGAGUAGGAGGUAAACUAAAUGAAGGUCAUCUUUCUACAUACAGAUGUAACCACAGAGCUAGGUGACAUAUUAAUAUUCACUGUAGUUUCAUUUUAAACCUCUGGGAGUUCAUUAGCUUCCCUCUUAUAUGUUAUUGUUCAAAUCCUGCCUAUGACAGAGCAAACAGAAAAGAUAACAAAAAUGAUUGAAUAGAAGGUAUUUUCCAGGUUGUGAAAAUGCAGCUGAAGUAAUACUGUGCUCUGCUGGGCUUCUCAUAUUUUGUUGUAUUACAGGAUAGAUGCAGAAAAUAAGAUGGUUCUCCCUCUUGAGGAAAAAAAACAUUUAUUAUGAGAAUGAAUGCACCAGUCAGAGCAUAUGGGCCUAACAGAUAUGCUUUGGACUGUAAAUGAAGACAUAUGGUUCCUAAAGUCAGUGCAGGGCUGCAGCUGUUGUUACUCUCACCCCCAAACGCUCACCUCUUAGCUACUGCUUCUGGCUACCUGAAGAUCAAAACCAAGGCAGAGUGGCAGAUCAAAGCCAAGAAAAGGAAAACUCAAAAAUAAAUGGAACAGAUGGAAACUGAGGGAAAACUGCC